AUUCGACUGACGAGUCCCAAACAGGACGAAACGCGCGUCCUGAAU
This 45-nucleotide non-coding RNA is filed under the name Schistosoma curassoni. The record is from RNAcentral. Lineage: Eukaryota; Metazoa; Platyhelminthes; Trematoda; Strigeidida; Schistosomatidae.